RNAcentral lists this transfer RNA (21 nucleotides) under Cyanoliseus patagonus (burrowing parakeet). Its description in RNAcentral is "partial tRNA-Met". Lineage: Eukaryota; Metazoa; Chordata; Aves; Psittaciformes; Psittacidae. The record is from RNAcentral.
GUUCAACCCCCUCCCUUACUA